This 576-nucleotide ribosomal RNA is filed under the name uncultured eukaryote. Its description in RNAcentral is "bacterial SSU rRNA". It matches the Rfam family "Eukaryotic small subunit ribosomal RNA", at positions 205 to 792 of the family's 1831-position model. The record is from RNAcentral.
UUUGUUACUUCAAACCAAUCGGACUUCGGUCUGACAUCAAGUGAUAUUGAACAAUUUAGCUGAUCGCACGGUCUAAGAACCGGCGACAUAUCCUUCAAAUGUCUGCCUUAUCAACUUUCGAUGGUAGAUUAUGCGCCUACCAUGGUUGUAACGGGUAACGGAGAAUCAGGGUUUGAUUCCGGAGAGGGAGCCUGAGAAACGGCUACCACAUCCAAGGAAGGCRGCAGGCACGCAAAUUACCCACUCCCGGCACGGGGAGGUAGCGACRAAAAAWAACAAGCUGGUCUCAAUGAGUUCCAGCAUUGUAAUGGGAACAAUUUAAAUCUUUUAUCGAGGAUCUAUUGGAGGGCAAGUCUGGUGCCAGCAGCCGCGGUAAUUCCAGCUCCAAUAGCGUAUAUUAAAGUUGUUGCGCGUUAAAAAGCUCGUAGUUGGAUCUAGGAUAAGGGCUACGGUCGUUCAGCUYUUGACAURCUGUGUGCGCCGACACUYUUUCUCUCUWRUAUUCKAUGUGUUGCUCUUAAAUGAGUGACUUUWGUUGCUGGAACUUUUACCUUGAAAAUUUAAAGUGCUCAAAGC